GAUGGACGCUGGCGGCGUGCCUAAUACAUGCAAGUCGAGCGAACAGACGAGGAGCUUGCUCCUCUGACGUUAGCGGCGGACGGGUGAGUAACACGUGGAUAACCUACCUAUAAGACUGGGAUAACUUCGGGAAACCGGAGCUAAUACCGGAUAAUAUAUUGAACCGCAUGGUUCAAUAGUGAAAGACGGUUUUGCUGUCACUUAUAGAUGGAUCCGCGCCGCAUUAGCUAGUUGGUAAGGUAACGGCUUACCAAGGCAACGAUGCGUAGCCGACCUGAGAGGGUGAUCGGCCACACUGGAACUGAGACACGGUCCAGACUCCUACGGGAGGCAGCAGUAGGGAAUCUUCCGCAAUGGGCGAAAGCCUGACGGAGCAACGCCGCGUGAGUGAUGGAGGUCUUCGGAUCGUAAAACUCUGUUAUUAGGGAAGAACAAAUGUGUAAGUAACUAUGCACGUCUUGACGGUACCUAAUCAGAAAGCCACGGCUAACUACGUG
RNAcentral lists this ribosomal RNA (497 nucleotides) under uncultured bacterium. RNAcentral describes it as "partial 16S ribosomal RNA". It matches the Rfam family "Bacterial small subunit ribosomal RNA", at positions 28 to 507 of the family's 1533-position model. The record is from RNAcentral.